UAGGGAAUUUUCGGCAAUGGGGGGAACCCUGACCGAGCAAUGCCGCGUGAAGGAAGAAGGUUUUCGGAUUGUAAACUUCUGUUAUAUGGGAAGAAUAAAGCUUAUAGGAAAUGAUAAGCAGAUGACGGUACCAUAUGAGAAAGCCACGGCUAACUACGUGCCAGCAGCCGCGGUAAUACGUAGGUGGCAAGCGUUAUCCGGAAUUAUUGGGCGUAAAGAGUGCGCAGGCGGUUUAGAAAGUCUGGGGUGAAAGACUGAAGCUCAACUUCAGUAAGCCUUGGAAACUGUUAGACUAGAGUGCAGGAGAGGGUAAUGGAAUUCCAUGUGUAGCGGUGAAAUGCGUAGAUAUAUGGAGGAACACCAGUGGCGAAGGCGAUUACCUGGCCUGUAACUGACGCUC
Molecule: ribosomal RNA, 400 nt
Filed under: uncultured bacterium
Lineage: Bacteria
Description: bacterial SSU rRNA
Rfam family: Bacterial small subunit ribosomal RNA
Source: RNAcentral